GACGAACGCUGGCGGCGCGCUUAACACAUGCAAGUCGAACGGAAAGGCCUGCUUUCCCUUGUGGAUUGCGGGUACUCGAGUGGCGAACGGGUGAGUAACACGUGAGUGAUCUGCCCCCAACUUGGGUAUAAGCCUGGGAAACUGGGUCUAAUUCCCGAUAGGACUGCAGGGUGGUGCCUGUGGUGGAAAACGAUUUACUAGUGGUUGGGGAUGAGCUCGCGGCCUAUCAGCUUGUUGGUGGGGUAAUGGCCUACCAAGGCGGCGACGGGUAGCCGGCCUGAGAGGGUGGACGGCCACAUUGGGACUGAGAUACGGCCCAGACUCCUACGGGAGGCAGCAGUGGGGAAUAUUGCACAAUGGGCGGAAGCCUGAUGCAGCGACGCCGCGUGGGGGAUGACGGCCUUCGGGUUGUAAACUCCUUUCGACCGCGAGGAAGCCACCUGGUUGGAAGGGUGGUGACGGUAGUGGUAGAAGAAGCACCGGCUAACUACGUG
Molecule: ribosomal RNA, 494 nt
Filed under: uncultured bacterium
Lineage: Bacteria
Description: partial 16S ribosomal RNA
Rfam family: Bacterial small subunit ribosomal RNA
Source: RNAcentral